GACGAACGCUGGCGGCGUGCUUAACACAUGCAAGUCGAACGGAAAGGCCCUGCUUUUGUGGGGUGCUCGAGUGGCGAACGGGUGAGUAACACGUGAGUAACCUGCCCUUGACUUUGGGAUAACUUCAGGAAACUGGGGCUAAUACCGGAUAGGAGCUCCUGCUGCAUGGUGGGGGUUGGAAAGUUUCGGCGGUUGUGGAUGGACGCGCGGCUUAUCAGCUUGUUGGUGGGGUAGUGGCUUACCAAGGCUUUGACUGGUAGCCGGCCUGAGAGGGUGACCGGCCACAUUGGUACUGAGAGACGGACCAGAGUCCUACGGGAGACAGCAGUGGGGAAUCUUACACAAUGGGCGGACGCGUGAUGCAGCAACGCCGCGAGCGUGAUGACGGCCUUCGGGUUGUAAACCGCUUUCGCCUGUGACGAAGCGUGAGUGACGGUAAUGGGUAAAGAAGCACCGGCUAACUACGUG
Molecule: ribosomal RNA, 468 nt
Filed under: uncultured bacterium
Lineage: Bacteria
Description: partial 16S ribosomal RNA
Rfam family: Bacterial small subunit ribosomal RNA
Source: RNAcentral